This 484-nucleotide ribosomal RNA is filed under the name uncultured bacterium. Its description in RNAcentral is "partial 16S ribosomal RNA". It matches the Rfam family "Bacterial small subunit ribosomal RNA", at positions 30 to 507 of the family's 1533-position model. The record is from RNAcentral.
AUUGAACGCUGGCGGCAGGCCUAACACAUGCAAGUCGAGCGGAUGAAGGGAGCUUGCUCCUGGAUUCAGCGGCGGACGGGUGAGUAAUGCCUAGGAAUCUGCCUGGUAGUGGGGGAUAACGUCCGGAAACGGGCGCUAAUACCGCAUACGUCCUGAGGGAGAAAGUGGGGGAUCUUCGGACCUCACGCUAUCAGAUGAGCCUAGGUCGGAUUAGCUAGUUGGUGGGGUAAAGGCCUACCAAGGCGACGAUCCGUAACUGGUCUGAGAGGAUGAUCAGUCAAACUUGAAACUGAGAACGGGCCAGGAUCCUAAGGGAAGGAGGAGGGGGGAAUUUUUGGCCAAUGGCGGAAAGCUUGACCAAGCAAUCCGGGUGGGUUGAAGAGGGUUUCCGAAUGGAAAACACCUUUAGGUGGGAAGAAAGGGAGUAAGGUAAAAACUUGGUUGUUUGGCGGUACCAACAGAAUAAGCAACGGGUAACUUCGUG